AAGUCGUAACAAGGUUUCCGUAGGUGAACCUGCGGAAGGAUCAUCGUUGGAUGUUUUUUGGAUGUGGGUAUUUUUUUCUUGCAAAUCCCAACCAAGAGGAGAGGCGUUGACUGAGGCUUUUGUGUGGAGGGAAAAAGAUACAAAACUUUCAACAACGGAUCUCUUGGCUCUCA
Molecule: unclassified non-coding RNA, 173 nt
Filed under: fungal sp.
Lineage: Eukaryota; Fungi
Description: partial internal transcribed spacer region
Rfam family: Eukaryotic small subunit ribosomal RNA (bases 1-46)
Source: RNAcentral